GAUGAAGAACGCAGCGAAAUGCGAUAAGUAAUGUGAAUUGCAGAAUUCAGUGAAUCAUCGAAUCUUUGAACGCACCUUGCGCCCUUUGGCUAUUCCGAAGGGCAUGCCUGUUUGAGUAUCAUGAACACCUCAACUCUCAUGGUUUGCCAUGAUGCGCUUGGACUUUGGGGGUCUUGCCGGCCUAUGGGUCGGCUCCUCUCAAAUUAAUCAGCUUGCCAGUGUUUGGUGGCAUCACAGGUGUGAUAACUAUCUACGCUUGUGGUUUUCCAUCAGGUAACCUUCAGUGAUGGAGGUUCGCUGGGGCUCAUAAAUGUCUCUCCUCAGUGAGGACAGCUUUUUUGAACGUUUGAUCUCAAAUCAGGUAGGACUACCCGCUGAACUUAAGCAUAUCAAUAAGCGGAGGA
This 404-nucleotide unclassified non-coding RNA is filed under the name soil metagenome. RNAcentral describes it as "partial contains 5.8S ribosomal RNA, internal transcribed spacer 2, and large subunit ribosomal RNA". The stretch from base 1 to 121 matches the Rfam family "5.8S ribosomal RNA", at positions 35 to 154 of the family's 154-position model. The record is from RNAcentral.